This 591-nucleotide long non-coding RNA is filed under the name Cricetulus griseus (Chinese hamster). Its description in RNAcentral is "lncRNA (ENSCGRG00015037676.1)". Lineage: Eukaryota; Metazoa; Chordata; Mammalia; Rodentia; Cricetidae. The record is from RNAcentral.
GAUCUCCGCUGCUCUACCGACCUGGGCUAUCCCCGGCGCUUGUCUUCUUGCCUCUCCAGCGCCGGGUUUGUAAUAGUAAGAAGAGAAGGUGGGAGAGGAGAUGACCACCGAAAGGGGGAUAGUAGAGUUUACAGAAGUUCCCUGACCAAGUCAUCGUCCUGGCCAAGUCAUCGCUUAUGGUACUGAGGGAGAUGAAGGAAAACGUUGAAGGGGCGCUGAGGUGACGAUCCACACAAUGGAAGUCCAUCCAUCUCUACUCUCAGUCCUCCCUUCUAGCUGGGUACUUUAUUUUAAGCACUACCCAAGUGGAUGACAUGUCUACAAAAAGAACAGGAGUCGCUGGCUGCUUCUAGCAAAUGCAUCUUCAAAACAAAUGCUUUUGUGCAGGAAGUUAGGAUGUGAACCCUCAUGAGAAACACAUUCAAAGAUGCUGCAUUGAAAACCCAGCAUUUCUAAUGUGACAAGGGCUAAAUUCAACCAGUUUGCUCAUUGAUGGAUGAAUGGUCUAUAAAGGACUCAGAGAAUUACAUUAAAUCUCGACGCAUCCUUUCUGCCUACUCUUCUUAAAAAAUUGGGCAGAUUAUUUCAUUU